GAUGAAGAACGCAGCGAAAUGCGAUAAGUAAUGUGAAUUGCAGAAUACAGUGAAUCAUCGAAUCUUUGAACGCACAUUGCGCCCCCUGGUAUUCCGGGGGGCAUGCCUGUCCGAGCGUCAUUACAACCCUCAAGCUCAGCUUGGUAUUGGGCCCCGCCGCUCCGGCGGGCCCUAAAGUCAGUGGCGGUGCCGUCCGGCUCCGAGCGUAGUAAUUCUUCUCGCUCUGGAGGUCCGGUCGUGUGCUCGCCAGCAACCCCCAAUUUUUUUCAGGUUGACCUCGGAUCAGGUAGGGAUACCCGCUGAACUUAAGCAUAUCAAUAAGCGGAGGA
This 329-nucleotide unclassified non-coding RNA is filed under the name soil metagenome. RNAcentral describes it as "partial contains 5.8S ribosomal RNA, internal transcribed spacer 2, and large subunit ribosomal RNA". The stretch from base 1 to 120 matches the Rfam family "5.8S ribosomal RNA", at positions 35 to 154 of the family's 154-position model. The record is from RNAcentral.